This is a long non-coding RNA of Saccostrea cuccullata (small rock oyster), 438 nucleotides long. RefSeq lists it as uncharacterized. The transcript is spliced from 4 exons. NCBI's taxonomy places the organism in Eukaryota, Metazoa, Mollusca, Bivalvia, Ostreida, Ostreidae. The record is from RefSeq and is a predicted model, not a curated record.
GGCAAAGCAUAUUAGAGUACUUGGACAAGAAAGACCAAGGUGAUGGAUCUGUGCGUCAUCUUAUCAGGAAUUGGAAGACAAAUGUAGGAGGGAAUUCUUGCUUCCAAAUGAUGCUAAAUUACAGUUUAUAGACAACAAAUUUACGACUCUUGAUGAUGAUUCAUUUUCACGUCUAUCAGACCAGUCCGAUGUACAACUGUUUCUUGAUGGAAAUCUUCCCGACAAACAAGGUAUACACAUAAGAGUACUUGGACCAACGAGAUUGAGACGAUGGGUGUGUGCGUCAUCUUAUCAGGAAUUGGAAGACAUAUGUAGAACCGAAUUCUCGCUUCCAAAUGAUACUCAUAUACAAUUUAUUGAUGCCGAAAGUACGCUUCUUAAUGAGUAUGCAUUUUCACUUCUAUCAGAUCAAUCCAAUGUUGAAAUAAUUAUCGAUGG